RNAcentral lists this ribosomal RNA (376 nucleotides) under uncultured bacterium. RNAcentral's name for it is "bacterial SSU rRNA". It matches the Rfam family "Bacterial small subunit ribosomal RNA", at positions 524 to 898 of the family's 1533-position model. The record is from RNAcentral.
UACGUAGGGGGCGAGCGUUGUCCGAAUUUACUGGGCGUAAAGCGCGUGUAGGCGGCUCUUUAAGUGAGAUGUGAAAUCCCGUGGCUCAACCACGGAACUGCAUUUCAAACUGGAGGGCUUGAAUUUGGGAGAGGAAAGUGGAAUUCCUGGUGUAGCGGUGAAAUGCGUAGAUAUCAGGAGGAACACCCGUGGCGAAGGCGGCUUUCUGGCCCAACAUUGACGCUGAGACGCGAAAGCCAGGGGAGCGAACGGGAUUAGAUACCCCGGUAGUCCUGGCCGUAAACGAUGGAUACUAGGUGUAAGUGGUAUCGACCCCACUUGUGCCGUAGCUAACGCAUUAAGUAUCCCGCCUGGGGAGUACGGCCGCAAGGUUGAA